This is an RNA transcript of Patella vulgata (common limpet), 4741 nucleotides long. It is a transcript of the gene named organic cation transporter protein, with no coding region annotated. The transcript has 12 exons. The record is from RefSeq and is a predicted model, not a curated record. Lineage: Eukaryota; Metazoa; Mollusca; Gastropoda; Patellidae.
GAUGACACAUUAAUUAAUUGCACAUUUAUCUUUUUCAAAAGUAUCGAGUAAUCACACUGAUUAUCUGUGCUUAGUUUAAAGGAGCUAAAUUGCUAACAUUUUGGACCUAGAAAUUGACAAAAGUGGGUCGCAACGCAUAUAAUACCUUAAUAUGAAUGUAUAUAAACUGAUUUACAUUCAAUGGUUUCCGUUUUUACUCCAAUUUCAAAUCAGUUAUGUUCGGCGAAAUAAGCCAGCAGUCUCAAGCGAGUGCAAAUUUCUAGCGUCUGGUUAUUCCAGUCUGCAUACGCCGUUUGAUUUGGUGCAAUGUGUCUAGCCUCGUUCCUCGAGUCUCUUGAUACAACUGGGGCUGAAGCGCACUAUGGUACACGAUUCGUGUACCAAUGUUAAAACGUUUAUUUUGUCUUAAAUAUUGGAUAUCAAAAGCCCAUCUUUUUCCGGUAAGAUCACAACAUGAAUGUUGAUUUAAUUUGACAAAUAAAUCGUGUUUUCAAUGUUGAAGAUUUUGGAUGAUAUUGAGUUAGAGACUUAGCUCCUUUAAGCAGUAAAUGUUCACUAUCAAACUCAGAUUUUGAAGUACCUUUAAUGUUAAUCAUAGAACUCAGCCAAGACAUUCGCCUAAUGAACAUCUAUACCUCAAUUAAAAGCAGAAUUGUUAGGUUUCAAAGUCUUGACUAAUCAAAUUUCUUAUGCUUAUCGCUACUUAACCUAAGCAGAAAAUUCUCAUCAUCGAACUUAGUCAAUGUAUUGAUAUAAUGAAUCUACACUCAGGAGUUUCAUCGCUCUCAUCCAAUUAGAACCCAAGUUAUCGUGUUCCAAGGUCUCAACCAAUCCAAUUGCUCAUCGCUGCUUAGCCUUAGUGGAAAAUGCGCAUGAACGAACUAUGUCAAGGAAUUCACGUAAUAGACGCCUACACCAAUUUUGAACAUUCUACCUCAAUUAGGAGAGUUAUUGUGUUCCAAAGUCUAGACCAAUCAGAGUAAAAUCCCUACUUUGCCUAAGCAGAAAAUGCCCAGCAUCGAACCUUGUUAAGGUAUUGAUGUCAUAAAACUAUAUACGAAGUUUCACAUAUAUCACACAAUUGGUAACAAAGUUGCAGAACUCCAAAGUCUUGACCGAACAAAUUUCUGAUCACUUUGCUUACCCUGAGCUGAAAAUGCUCUCAUAAUCAAACUUAGCCAAGGUAUUGGUGUGUUGAAACUAUACACCAAGUUUCAUCACUCUCACUUAAUUAGAACCAAAGUUAUCGUGUCCCAAAGCACCAGCCAAUCAAAUUGCUUAUCUCUGCUUACCCUAAGCAGAAAAUGCCAAUCUUUGAACUCCAUCAAGGCAUUCAUCCAAUCAACGCCUACACCAAGUUUGAACAUUCUACCUUAAUUCGAAGGAUAGUUAUUGUGUUCCAAAGUCUCGACCAAUCAAAUUGCUUAUUGCUCUGCUUACCCUGAGCAGAAAAUGUUCUUUAUCGUUCUUAGUCAAGGAAGGUAUCAAUGUAAUGAAACUAUACACCAAAUUGCAACAACCAACCCUAAGCAGAAAUGCUCACCUUCGAACUCCAUCAAGGCAUUGAUCUAAUAAACACCUACACCGAAAGGCGGGGGACAACAAAGAACACAAGAGAUGAGUUUUCAGGGUGAUGCUAAAACACAGGAGAGACUUGAUAAUUUCUAAAUACAUUUCAGAUCGACCUAAUUCGCCCAGAAUGGCAAAAUUUGAACAUUUUGUGUGUAGCCCUAAAAGCAAUUUACAAAAUUUACCAUGUAGCUUAUCCGAUUCUGUAUCGUUUCUAAAGAGAAACAUUUUUUGAACUUGGGACUAAGUAUAUUAAAAGCUGACCAUAUUGCAUUACCAUCCACUAUUAUGGGCUAAACUGAUUAAAUAAUGGUGUGAUCAAACAUAUGCAAACUGGUUUUAAUCUGCGGAUUUAAAGAGAAUACAUGUACAUCUUUACACAAUAUAAAAUAUGCAUUUAAACUUUUACGAUGUAAGCUCGACGGGAACAGAAACCUGACGACGAAAAUAUUACACCAAGAUAUAUCGGUAAAAUGAGACAUUUUCAAGUGUGAUACCAUGAAAUACAAAAUCUUAUUUAAGUAAUCGACCAGUUUUGUUGAAAGAUACAAAUUUUUGAUUUAUCAAUAUUUACUGAAAGAGACCAGUUUUUUUUUCAAAAGUGGUCUACUUUAUCAAGUUUAGAUUGUAAUCCACUUUUAGAUAAGAUCACCACGUCAUCAGCAUAAAUAAAGCAAUGGGUUAUAAUGUUGGGUCCAAGAGUGACUGGAUCAGAGCAGUUGGGAGAAAUAAAAAGGUGUGUGUUUCAAUAAGCCAAUGGUUGAAUUUCAUUGAUGACAUGCAAGCAAAAUUUCUGGAAGAUUUUCUAGAAUAAAGUUUUGAGGUCAGAAUUUUUGGCCACUGCUGCAAAGAGGGUCUAUUCCCCAGGAAAUAUUAAUUCGCAGUGAGUCGCCCAGACUGUUCUACUCAUUCGACACCGCUUUUCGACCAAUCAGAAUCCACGAAAUUGCACUUUCUAAAUAGCUAGUCCAUUGACAAAUUAUAUUAUUAAUGUCAACCGACCGUGGCGUCAGCUUUGACAAUAGAAGUAUCAUCUUACGAUAUUAGAAUAGGAUAGCACGUAAUACUCUUCGAGAUGCUGUACGACGAUGUUUUAAAGUUGAUUGGAGAGUUUGGGCGAUACCAGAAAAUUCUGAGUAUUCCUGUGUGUAUCGAACCCCUAUCUUUAGCUUUGAUGGUAAUGGUGACGGUAUUUUCCUUAGCUACUCCGCCACACAGGUGUAAAUUACCAGGAUUUGAAAACGACACUUACCAUCAACAAAGCGAUUACCAUGGCAACCUUAUAAACCAAUCCAUACCACAAUCUUCUAGCUGUCUACUACGUAAUACUACAGUUGAUAAAUAUGGUAAUAUGACGUCAGUGGAAUAUAAAUGUGGUUCUUGGGUUUAUGAUACUUCUACGUACAUGUCAACUCUAGUUACUGAGUUUAAUAUGGUUUGCGACGAUGAUAUUUUAAGAAAUAAUGCUAUUAUGAUCACGUUCCUGGGACUGGUAUUCAGUUGCUCUAUAAUAAGUAACUUUGCUGAUCGAUUCGGUCGUUAUCCAGUAAUGGUCAUUUCUAACGUCUUGGUUGUCACUUCUGCUUAUUUACUGGUUUGGACACCGAAUUAUAUUUUCUUGGUGAUUGUCAGAUUUUUUGUCGGAAUAGGAUUGGGUGGGCAAUUAAUAGCUAUCUUUACUAUUGGAGUGGAGAUUGUUGGACCUUCUAAAAGACGUUUUACUGGAGUUUUAUUUCACCUCGGAUGGUGUUUGGGUGUUUUAGUUAUAGCAAUGUUGGGCUAUUGUAUAAGAAAUUGGAGAUACUUACAGCUAGCUGCAGCCGUCUUGACGUCCCAUCACUUAUUCUAUUUCUUGUAUGUACCUAGGGCUAAAUCUAUUUGUUAAGGCCAGUUCUAUUUUUGUCAAGGUCGCGGAGAAAGAUUAAGGUUAGGGCACGUGAUUGUUGGCGAGAUUGUACGUUGGAGUUAAGAAUGUUACCUGAAAGUCCACGAUGGUUAUUAACACGAGGUCAACUUGAUAAGGCAAGAACAUUAAUCAAAAAGGCAGCCGAUAUCAAUAAAACGAUUAUAACUGAUGAUGUAUUAUUAAAAUUAAGAGUAUCAGAAACGCCCGCAACAGCAAAAUUUUGGAAACUUUGCUCAACAAGAAAAUUGACAGCAAGAACACUUGCAAUUUAUUUCGUGUGGUUUUCUGUGAGUGUCACGUAUUUCGGUAUAAUGCUAAACUUGGAGUUUUUGGUGGGAAAUAUAUACUUGAAUCUAUCACUAACAGCCGUCAUUGAAGUAAUCUGUUAUAUAUUUGUUAUGUUAAUGGUAGAUAAGUCAGGAAGAAAGAAACUGAUUUGUGGAUGUUAUUCUCUACAGAUUCUAUCAUUAAUAGCAGUCAUAUUUAUACUGUUAUACGUACCACCAGAUCUGAAUUGGUUGAUGACGGUAUUUACUUUGAUUGGUCAAUGUGGAACUAUAUGUAGUUUUGCUAUAGUUUGGUUGUGGACAAGUGAACUUUUCCCGACAGAAUUAAGAAAUGUUGGAACCGGUACCGGUUCCGCUUCAGCACGUGUAGGAGCUCUGGUUGCACCUUAUUUGGAAUUAUUGAGUAAAUUAGUUCCUGGGAGAUUUAAAGAGGUUUCGCCAUUUGUAUUUUUUGGCAUUAUUUGUAUGGUUUGCUUAGUCCUUAUCGUCUGUGUUUUACCGGAAACAAACAAACAAAAACUACCAGAUACUGUGGAUGAUGCGGGCCGAUUGGAACAUAGGUCUGGAGAAACAAGAGAUAAAGAUGAAACAGUUGAAAUGCUUGGUACAAAUUCUAAAUGCUGACAUCCAAAGAUAUAUGUUUAUUUGGGAGACAUUUCUGAUCCUUAUUUUUACCACUUUAUGGGAAACCGUUCGGCUCUUUAUAUGUGUAGUUCAAAAUUCCCCUCACAGAAAUUUUGCUUUUUAUAGUACAGCUGUAUAUACAUAUAUAUACAUGUUAUAGUAGUAGGUACAUAUUCGGACGAAACUUUACAAUUAGUCUGGGUGUCUUGGUUUUUAGGUGCCUUGUUUUUUCUGUAAAUUUAUAAGUAGUGUCUAUAAAAUAUUUAAGAACUUUAUGUGCUAAUUCAGUAUUUAAAGCACAACCAUAGUGAUAAUUUAUUUAGUUACUAAUAAAAAUUCACCACUUGCGAUGUGC